AGAUCACCAGUUCAUCUCGGCGUAUUUCGGCUUGGAGAAAAUAUACCGUCCUGCUCAGCGAUAAUGACCUCCAUGCUUGACGUAAGUACAUGGCAAAUUGCACUGUCAGAUAGUUGACGCUCUAGAAUUUUAUCAAUGAUUUU
RNAcentral lists this small RNA (143 nucleotides) under Salmonella enterica subsp. enterica serovar Javiana str. GA_MM04042433. Its description in RNAcentral is "isrN Hfq binding RNA". It matches the Rfam family "isrN Hfq binding RNA". The record is from Rfam by way of RNAcentral. Lineage: Bacteria; Pseudomonadati; Pseudomonadota; Gammaproteobacteria; Enterobacterales; Enterobacteriaceae.